Molecule: ribosomal RNA, 253 nt
Filed under: uncultured bacterium
Lineage: Bacteria
Description: partial 16S ribosomal RNA
Rfam family: Bacterial small subunit ribosomal RNA
Source: RNAcentral
UACGUAGGGGGCAAGCGUUGUCCGGAAUUAUUGGGCGUAAAGAGUGUGUAGGCGGCUUGGUAAGUCCGCUCUGAAAGCCAGGGGCUCAACCCCUGGAGGCGGGUGGAUACUGUCAAGCUUGAGUCCGGAAGAGGCGAGUGGAAUUCCCGGUGUAGCGGUGAAAUGCGCAGAUAUCGGGAGGAACACCAAUGGCGAAGGCAGCUCGCUGGGACGUGACUGACGCUGAGACACGAAAGCGUGGGGAGCAAACAGG